AAGGAGUCGUCCAUUAGAGCGAGCGUUUGGGUGUAAAACCCCCACGCGUAAUGAAAGUGAAAUUAGGUGAGAGCUUCGGCGCAUCAUCGACCGAUCCUGUAGUUUACGGUUGGAUUUGAGUAAGAGUAUUAACGGUAGGACCCGAAAGACGGUGAACUAUGCCUGAAUAGGGUGAAGCCAGGGGAAACCCUGAUGGAGGCUCGCAGCGUUUUUGACGUGCAAAUCGCUCGUCAAAUUUGGGCAUGGGGGCGAAAGACUAAUCGAACCGUCUAGUAGCUGGUUCCCGC
Molecule: unclassified non-coding RNA, 287 nt
Filed under: uncultured fungus
Lineage: Eukaryota; Fungi
Description: partial contains 5.8S rRNA, ITS2 and 28S rRNA
Rfam family: Eukaryotic large subunit ribosomal RNA
Source: RNAcentral